RNAcentral lists this ribosomal RNA (253 nucleotides) under uncultured bacterium. Its description in RNAcentral is "partial 16S ribosomal RNA". It matches the Rfam family "Bacterial small subunit ribosomal RNA", at positions 524 to 776 of the family's 1533-position model. The record is from RNAcentral.
UACGUAGGGAGCGAGCGUUGUCCGGAAUUACUGGGCGUAAAGAGCUCGUAGGUGGUUUGUCGCGUUGUUCGUGAAAACUCACAGCUUAACUGUGGGCGUGCGGGCGAUACGGGCAGACUGGAGUACUGCAGGGGAGACUGGAAUUCCUGGUGUAGCGGUGGAAUGCGCAGAUAUCAGGAGGAACACCGGUGGCGAAGGAGGGUCUCUGGGCAGUAACUGACGAUGAGGAGCGAAAGCGUGGGGAGCGAACAGG